Molecule: ribosomal RNA, 497 nt
Filed under: uncultured bacterium
Lineage: Bacteria
Description: bacterial SSU rRNA
Rfam family: Bacterial small subunit ribosomal RNA
Source: RNAcentral
UCAGGAUGAACGCUGGCGGCGUGCCUAACACAUGCAAGUCGAACGAAGCAUACGGACUGGAGAUUCGUCGAAGGACUGUAUGACUUAGUGGCGGACGGGUGAGUAAUGUAUGAGCAACCUGCCUUUCAGAGGGGGACAACAGUUGGAAACGACUGCUAAUACCGCGUAACGUAUCGUGGGGGCAUCCUCGUGAUACCAAAGGAGCAAUCCGCUGAAAGAUGGGCUCAUAUCUGAUUAGCCUGUUGGCGGGGUAACGGCCACCAAGGCGACGAUCAGUAGCCGGACUGAGAGGUUGAACGGCCACAUUGGGACUGAGAUACGGCCCAGACUCCUACGGGAGGCAGCAGUGGGGAAUAUUGGGCAAUGGGCGAAAGCCUCGACCCAGCAACGCCGCGUGAAGGAAGAAGGUCUUCGGAUUGUAAACUUCUUUUAUGAGGGACGAAGGACGUGACGGUACCUCAUGAAUAAGCCACGGCUAACUACGUGCCAGCAGCCGC